CUCGGGCACCGCGGCCCCUCCGCGGGCGGGGCGGGGAGGGGACGGCCCGCGGAAAUCUCGGCUUUGUCUCCUCACGGCUUUGGAAUGUCACUCAAGGAGGCUCUGGGAUCUCCCAGCCCCUGGAACACCCAAAUGGAUGUCAUGCUGCCCAUGCCUUCUCUGGAAAAAUAACAUUUUCAGAGGGUCUCAUCUAAUAAAGCUGUGGCUUUUUUUAUGAUGAGUGUACCACCUAUCCUGUCAUCUCUACCAGUAAAAAUUAUCUCCUCAGAAGUCAAGCAAUUCCUGUAUACAAACCUAUGAUUAUCCAAAAAGAACCCU
Long non-coding RNA from Onychostruthus taczanowskii (white-rumped snowfinch), 318 nucleotides. RefSeq lists it as uncharacterized. NCBI's taxonomy places the organism in Eukaryota, Metazoa, Chordata, Aves, Passeriformes, Passeridae. The transcript is spliced from 3 exons. The record is from RefSeq and is a predicted model, not a curated record.